Molecule: ribosomal RNA, 467 nt
Filed under: uncultured bacterium
Lineage: Bacteria
Description: partial 16S ribosomal RNA
Rfam family: Bacterial small subunit ribosomal RNA
Source: RNAcentral
GACGAACGCUGGCGGCGUGCUUAACACAUGCAAGUCGAACGGAAAGGCUCCAGCUUGCUGGAGUACUCGAGUGGCGAACGGGUGAGUAACACGUGGGUAAUCCGCCCUGCACUCUGGGAUAAGCCUGGGAAACUGCGUAUAAUACAGGAUAUGACCUGUCUCCUUAUGGGGUUCGUUGGAAAGUUUUUCGGUGUAGGAUGGGCGCGCGGCCUAUCUGCUUGUUGGUGGGGUGAUGGACUACCAAGGCGACGACGGGUAGCCGACCUGGGAGGGUAAGCGGCCACAUUGGGACUACGGUACGGCCCAGACUGCAACGGGGGGCAGCGGGGGAGAGUAUUACACAGUGGGCGGGAGCGUGUUACAAAGGUGCCGGGUGCGGAAUGCCGGCUUUCGGGUGAUGAACCUCUGUCAGCAGAGACGAAGCGUAAGUGACGGUACCUGCAGAAGAAGCACCGGCUAACUACGUG